GAAGUAGUGGCGGACGGGUGAGUAUAAGCAGGGAACGUACCCUUUUCUGUGGGAUAGCUCGUCGAAAGACGGGGUAAUACCGCAUGUCUUCGUGAGAAGAAAGCGCGUAACUGCGCGGAAUUGGAGCGGCCCUGUUUCCAUCAGCUAGUUGGUGGGGUAACGGCCUACCAAGGCAUCGACGGAUAGGGGGCGUGAGAGCGCGACCCCCCACAAUGGCACUGAGAUACGGGCCAUACAUCUACGGAUGGCAGCAACUGGGAAUCGUUGGCAAUGGGCGAAAGCCUGACCACGCGACGCCGCGUGAGGGAUGAAGUAUUUCGGUAUGUAAACCUCUUUUGACCCGCCAUGAAGGUGGGUAGAAUAAGCACCUACAAACUACGUGCCAGCAGUCGCGGUAAUACGUAGGGUGCAAGCGUUAUCCGGAUUCACUGGGCGUAAAGAGUCGUGUAGGCGGUUUACCGCAUCGCACUUGAAAGCACGAGGCUUAACCUCGUCGUUGGGUGCGAGAUGGGUAGACUUCUGAGGGUAGUAGAGGAAAGGGGAACUGAUGGUGGAGCAGUGAAAUGCGUUGAUAUCAUCAGGAACACCAAAGGCGAAGGCACCUUUCUGGACUAUACCUGACGCUGAGACACGAAAGCUAGGGGAGCGAAGCAGAUUAGAGACCUGCGUAGUCCUAGCCCUAAACGCAUGUCUGCUAGUUGCCCCGCCUUAAAAGUGGGGUGACGUAAGCUAACGCGUUAAGCAGACCGCCUGGGGGACUAC
Molecule: ribosomal RNA, 762 nt
Filed under: uncultured bacterium
Lineage: Bacteria
Description: bacterial SSU rRNA
Rfam family: Bacterial small subunit ribosomal RNA
Source: RNAcentral